GACGAACGCUGGCGGCGUGCCUAAUACAUGCAAGUCGAACGCUUCUUUCCUCCCGAGUGCUUGCACUCAAUUGGAAAGAGGAGUGGCGGACGGGUGAGUAACACGUGGGUAACCUACCCAUCAGAGGGGGAUAACACUUGGAAACAGGUGCUAAUACCGCAUAACAGUUUAUGCCGCAUGGCAUAAGAGUGAAAGGCGCUUUCGGGUGUCGCUGAUGGAUGGACCCGCGGUGCAUUAGCUAGUUGGUGAGGUAACGGCUCACCAAGGCCACGAUGCAUAGCCGACCUGAGAGGGUGAUCGGCCACACUGGGACUGAGACACGGCCCAGACUCCUACGGGAGGCAGCAGUAGGGAAUCUUCGGCAAUGGACGAAAGUCUGACCGAGCAACGCCGCGUGAGUGAAGAAGGUUUUCGGAUCGUAAAACUCUGUUGUUAGAGAAGAACAAGGACGUUAGUAACUGAACGUCCCCUGACGGUAUCUAACCAGAAGCCACGGCUAACUACGUG
Molecule: ribosomal RNA, 507 nt
Filed under: uncultured bacterium
Lineage: Bacteria
Description: partial 16S ribosomal RNA
Rfam family: Bacterial small subunit ribosomal RNA
Source: RNAcentral